Molecule: long non-coding RNA, 4268 nt
Organism: Equus caballus (horse)
Lineage: Eukaryota; Metazoa; Chordata; Mammalia; Perissodactyla; Equidae
Source: Ensembl
CUCAGACCUGCCAGAGCCCAGAGGCAGGAGUGCAGUGGGGGCUCAGAUUGGGUCAUCUCAGCAGAGUCCCCAAACAGAGGACCAUGGCCUCCCUGGGGUCACUCAUUCGUUCAGCAGUUCGUGUUGAGCACUCGCUCUACCCCAGCCCCAUGGAGAGACUCAGAAGGGUGGGGCACAGCCCUGCUCUCAAAGAGUUUGCACUCGAGUCGGGGACCCAGCCUGGGCAGCAGCGUGGCAAGUGCGGGUGCUGUGGGAGCACGGAAGGCCCCCAGAGGGACCGUGGCUGAGCAGAGAGUUCGUCCCACUGAGAAAGGGAAGGUGCCUUCUGGGCAAGAGGAACGGCAGGUGAAAGAUUAGAACAAGACUCGCUGUGGACCGGCUUCGGGUGAUGAGCAUUUGGAGAUGGGCAGAACAUAAGGUGGGCGUGUUGGGGCUGGGUCAGGCUGGAGGGGGCCUGGCCACAGAGUGCCCUAAGGACCUGUGGGCAGUAGGGAGCCAGCGAAGGGCGCUGAGCUGGGGCGUGGCAGGGUCAGGUUUGCAUUUGAAGGAGCUCCCCCUGGCUCCCCCUGGAGGGCCUGCUGGAGGGGCAGAGACCAGGGAUGUGGAUGUUGCAAUCGUCCGUGGCCAGGAUGAGGUCAGAAUGAAGGCGACAGCAGCGGGGAGAGAAUCAAGUCACGAGAUCGCUUGGAUUGGCCUUGGUGGACCAACGGGACCAAGGGUCGGGUGAGGGAGACCGAGGAGUCUCAGGCGACGCCCGCACCUCUGCCCGGGAAUCAGGCCGAGGAAGAGAGGACAAAUCGUGUGGCCGGAUCUCCACACUAGCCUGACACCAGGGAACCCGCCGUGGCCAGCUUUAUCCGAUGCUGAAAGGGUCAUUUCCCACCUGACGUAAGGGGAGCAGCCCUUCGCCCACAGCCCCACCUCUGCUGGGUAACUUGGAAUUUCAAGCCCAGUGACCCCUGAAGUGUCCUCUAAACCUGCGUGGCCCAGAGGAUGUCCCACUUGUCCUGAGAAAGGUUCCAUGGGGAACAUGACACUGGUAUCAAAUAAGCCUGGGGAAGACUGCACACUCGGGCCCCUUCUUAGAAGAUCAAAGUCCCUGUUAACAAUUAAAGGCUCUGAGAAGUCCUGCAAGAGAGAAGCCUGUCUGACUUUGUAGAAUCCAGUGUUUCCCUGGCUUAUUGCAUCCAGAACCUUUCUUUUCUCUCAAAACAACAGCCACAGAGCUUCACUUGGGAAAUACAUCCAAAAUGCAAAGUGGCAUUGCCCGCUGCCAUCUUGACACAGGCGAGCUUCUUUCCAGAGUCUCAGGGAGGAAAAGCAGGAGUCGGCUGUGUCUGGUAAGAGGCCCUGUGGUCCAGAGAGCAGGAGACUCUGCAGACCCACCAGGGCUCAGCAUGGCCAUCCCUCUCUCAGCCUCCAGGAGACCCUGUCUCCAGAGCCACUGUCCCCAGAAAAGGUGUCAUUGAGCAGCAGCCUCAGAAGAGGGGCAAGCUUAGCCAAGAGGGGAGGCCAGAUGUGUGCAGCAUCACGGAUGGGAGAGGCACGGAAGGCUGGGACACCCAGGCAGCAGGGAGUGAUGGCGUCUCCGGGCAUCCCCUGGGGCAGAUACAGCCUCGUCCUUCGGCUGGACUUGAACCAAAGACCAAUUCGUGUCUCCACCUCACACCCCCACCCUGCCCAGCCUGUCUUCUCCUAGUCCCUCUGCAUCCCCAGGGCCUGGGACCAUCUCCCAGCCCCUACCUGUGUGCUCUGAGACUCUUACCCUCUUUGGGGCCGAGGGGGCAAGGAUCCUGCUCCCGCUCCCGCUCCCGCCCCCUCCCUCCUGCACCGACUCUUGGCUGCCUCCUGAAGCCAGACAAUACAGGGAAAUGUUUGCACCCAAACAACUCCGCUGCUUCAGGAACUGGCUGACCCUGCCCAGGAAAGCACUCCUGCAGCUCCACCCUGGUCCCCUCAGUCCGAGGACCAGAGACCAAAGCUGAAGGGGCAGCCCAGCAGAGGUCAGCAGAGCCAGAGAGGUCAUAGGCAUCCCCGAUGUGGCCGAGGGGAGCACAGGGGUCGCCUCUCUCUAGGGACCGGGGCUUUCUUGCCUGCCUAAGUCAGAAAGGGAGGGCUGUUCCCGACUGUGGAUAUGCAAAAGCCAGAUUGUCAAUAUUUAUCUAGAGAGCUGUGGCUCUGGAUUAAUCUGGCCUGAAGAUAAUGAAAAGAGCACUUUGAUGUGACUUGAGAAAUGUAUUAAUUCAUUCAACAAGCAUUUGCCACACUUGGGGUCUGGGCCAAGCCGCAUGCCGGGCACUGAGGAUUCGGGGGUAUGAGCCUCACCCCGCCCUGGAGAGGCCCACGGUCCAAGGGGGAGACAGAACCCAAAAUGGAAUGGGGGGCAGGUGGGUGCUGCUCUGCCCCAGCUGAAGUUCCUCUUGAGAAACGCUAACCUGGCAUUGGCUAAAGCAGGGGCUGCAGGAUCAAUGCACACGCGGGUGGGAUGGGCCGGGGAACCCAUCACCAAAGUCACCUACAGCACUGGCCGCCUGGGUCAGGAAGCCACAGUGUCAGUGCAAUUUGUAAAAGCAGAGUCCCCAUCCCCACGUUUGAUAAAGAUUGAAAUGCCCUCUGGUGGCUUCCCUCCCAACACUCCUUCCCAUCUUAUGAUUCUGCCCCCACCAACCCCGACACAGCCCCGAUGAGAGGAGCACCAGGGCAAGCCAAGCCGGCAAAGCUUGUGAAAAGCAGCAAGAAGACAAAGCAGAUCUGGCACAGAUGCGGCCACACGUGACGGUGCCGUGGGGUGACCCCCGGCACUCCUGUGCCUGGACCUUCAAAGCACACCAGCUUCCCGUUCCCAGCACGGGGCGGGCGGCGGGGGAGAUAGAGUCAGGGACCCCAAGCUCCCAACUUGACCACAGUGGGGCUUACCCAGCAGCCCACCCCUUCUUAGUACCUUUGAGGAAACCGAGGCCGAGAUGGAAAGAGCAGGGAAGAUGCAGGGGCGGCCGGCUGGGGGCAGUUCAGGUCAGGGCAGCCAGCCUGCUUGUCACAGCCCCUCACGCCCACCUCGCCCGCGUGCCAGAGACUGUGUGUUUUUGUCUUUCUUGGGGGGAGGGGUGUGGCUCAGAGCCUUGAGUGAUAGUUAACUGACAAUGAAUUUGAACCACAUGGAGCCCGGGCUUAAGGGGAAAAUGUUUUGGUGAGAUACAGCUGGGAUUUCAACUCCCGCCCCCCAGACAGUACAAAAAUAGUCUGGGCCAGGCAGGCUCUGACCCACAGGCCUGGCCCAGUUUCGCCGCCCCGUGUCCUGGAGAGGCUCGCAGUGGCCUCUUUCCCUGCAUCUGGGUUUCGUAAUCUUUCCUGGUUGUUUGGGUCGCCUGUUUGUUGACUGGCCCGGUUUGUCUGGGAGGAUUUGCUCCCUGAAGGCUCCCACAGGCUGGCCCUGAAGACAGUGAGGCAGGAAGACCCUCCAUCCUGUCGCUAACAAGGCCCCCCGCGCUGGAAGCUGGAAAGGCUGCCACAGUCACAGCCUGGGGACUGGACUGGGAGCCCUGUGGCCUUGGGAGUGUGGGUGGGUGAUGGGCUCUGUGCGCCCGGGCGUGAGGUGGACUUCACCCAAGUGAGAUCUGGAAGGUCUCGUCAAUGUCUCCAGUCCGAGCUCCUUCCUCAGGGGGACACUGAGGCCAGAGGCAGGAGGCGAGCGAUCUAAGGCGCCCGGUUAACAGCACCACCGGGCUUGCCCCCAAGCGAGGGCUUCUGCUUCCGGCCCUGGGCCUGGCACCGAGGAGGCAUCCAGAAGUGUUUGUGCAUUGAGACAAUGGUCAAAGCCCUUGGCCCUCAAUCCUAGCUCAGAGGAAGGAAACAGAGGGCGCUGGGCCCCCGGGCGGGCCCCUGCCACCCCAGCACCUAGUAGUAAUAACCUCCUGCCCCCGGGGGCAAGUGCUGAGAGCCCUCCUAGGGUGCUCCGGGCUGGGGCAGGAGGAGGGGAUGCUCAUGGCGCCCUCGCAGGCCCAGCGGCAGGGCCACGGGACAGCAGCUCCUGCAAAAAGAGGUGCCAGCAGUGAGGCCAGGGGUUGUUGGGAUGGACAGAGAGAUGGGGACACCGCAGGGGAGGGGCUCGAGGCAGAGACCUCAGCCACAGCAUCCCUCAGACCAGCUGACGGAGCCACUACCUGGCAGUCCAGAGUCACAUCUGGAAACCUCGGCCCAACCCAGGCUGGGCCACCCCGGGGAGAGCCAAGGCCCCUGUGACCACAGGACAGGACCCGUAUCAGUCCUUC